Molecule: ribosomal RNA, 325 nt
Filed under: uncultured Spirochaetota bacterium
Lineage: Bacteria; Pseudomonadati; Spirochaetota
Description: bacterial SSU rRNA
Rfam family: Bacterial small subunit ribosomal RNA
Source: RNAcentral
GACGAACGCUGGCGGCGUGGAUUAGGCAUGCAAGUCGAACGGUAUUAUCCUUUCGGGGAUAAGAGAGUGGCGAACGGGUGAGUAACACGUAGGUGAUCUACCCUCAAGACGGGGACAACCCAGGGAAACUUGGGCUAAUACCGGAUGAAAGCAACCGCAAGGUUGUUUAAAAGAUGGCUUUCGGGCUGUCGUUUGGGGAUGAGCCUGCGCUCUAUUAGUUAGUUGGUGGGGUAAUGGCCUACCAAGGCGAUGAUAGAUAGGCGGCCUUAACGGGUGGUCGCCCACACUGGGAUUGAGAUACGGCCCAGACUCCUACGGGAGGCUG